UACGUAGGGGGCAAGCGUUAUCCGGAUUUACUGGGUGUAAAGGGUGCGUAGGUGGCAGGGCAAGUCAGAUGUGAAAGCCCGGGGCCCAACCCCGGUACUGCAUUUGAAACUGUCCGGCUGGAGUGCAGGAGAGGUAAGCGGAAUUCCUAGUGUAGCGGUGAAAUGCGUAGAUAUAAGGAAGAACACCAGUGGCGAAGGCGGAUGACUGGACGGCAACUGACGGUGAGGCGCGAAAGCGUGGGGAGCAAACAGG
RNAcentral lists this ribosomal RNA (253 nucleotides) under uncultured Eubacteriales bacterium. RNAcentral's name for it is "uncultured Clostridiales bacterium partial 16S ribosomal RNA". It matches the Rfam family "Bacterial small subunit ribosomal RNA", at positions 524 to 776 of the family's 1533-position model. Lineage: Bacteria; Bacillati; Bacillota; Clostridia; Eubacteriales. The record is from RNAcentral.